GAUGUAGCUUAGUGGUAGAGUACAUGCCUAGCAUGUGUGAGGUUCUGAGUUCAGUCUCAGCAUC
Molecule: transfer RNA, 64 nt
Filed under: Heterocephalus glaber (naked mole-rat)
Lineage: Eukaryota; Metazoa; Chordata; Mammalia; Rodentia; Bathyergidae
Rfam family: tRNA
About the family: Transfer RNA (tRNA) molecules are approximately 80 nucleotides in length. Their secondary structure includes four short double-helical elements and three loops (D, anti-codon, and T loops). Further hydrogen bonds mediate the characteristic L-shaped molecular structure. tRNAs have two regions of fundamental functional importance: the anti-codon, which is responsible for specific mRNA codon recognition, and the 3' end, to which the tRNAs corresponding amino acid is attached (by aminoacyl-tRNA synthetases). tRNAs cope with the degeneracy of the genetic code in two manners: having more than one tRNA (with a specific anti-codon) for a particular amino acid; and 'wobble' base-pairing, i.e. permitting non-standard base-pairing at the 3rd anti-codon position.
Source: Rfam by way of RNAcentral